GAAGUUCUUAUGAAUUUUUUCUCACGCAAAGCCCUCCUCACGCCCUACUUUAAUGCGCCAAAUGAGUGGAUAAGGAUGAUUGGUUGGCCAUUCAAAUUCAAAACAAAGUUUGAAUUUGAAUGAGCAACCAAUCUUAGCACCUUGACCUUAUCCUCUUUUAACGCCCCAUUUAUUACAUGAGAAAAUAUUUCUCAUGAAAUCACUCAUGCACAAAUUAAUCCACGCCCUCCUCUUCUCACGUCCUUAGUGGAUAGGAAUAAAUUGAUUUCCAUUUGAAUUCAAAAUUUGAUUUGAAUUCAAAUGUGCAAUUUCUCAUCUUUAUCCUCUCACGUGGAUAAGACGUUUGACAUUAUUUUAAAAGGAGGAGAAGAG
This 372-nucleotide long non-coding RNA is filed under the name Elaeis guineensis (African oil palm). Its description in RNAcentral is "long non-coding RNA (EGUI_LNC070297)". Lineage: Eukaryota; Viridiplantae; Streptophyta; Magnoliopsida; Arecales; Arecaceae. The record is from RNAcentral.